Long non-coding RNA from Zalophus californianus (California sea lion), 753 nucleotides. RefSeq lists it as uncharacterized. The transcript is spliced from 4 exons. The record is from RefSeq and is a predicted model, not a curated record. Lineage: Eukaryota; Metazoa; Chordata; Mammalia; Carnivora; Otariidae.
CCAAGGCAGCCAACAAAGCCACAGCCACCUUGGCUGUGCUUGGGCUCUGCCUUUUGGGCAGCUCACCGGCCACUCCCCAAAAGCAGAGCAUUCUGUCCCUUCUCUUUUUAAAUCCACGUCAUCGUUUGAUCAUAAUGGAAAUCAAUCUCCUCAAGUCACCACGCAAAGGCGUAUCCAUAGCAACCACAAGAGGAAGGACACGGAUGUGAUGCUCCAGUAGCUGCAGCAGCAAAAGAAACCUGUGGCUCCGAAUGGGUUCAGACGCUCCCAGGAAAGGAAGGAGACCCUCGCCGCUGUGGAGGAAUUCGGAGGCGCAACCACUCCGACCCCGGGAGAACACCGCCAGGCUGAAGAGCGCAGUCCCAGACUUCUACUGGCCUCUCCUUAGUUCAAGAUGACAUAUAUACUUCAGUUUGCCUGACUGCUUUGGAAUCUCAUGUCUGUGCGGACUUCCUGUUUGUGCCAGCCUGAGUGUCCCUCUGAUGGGGAAUUCCAAUUUGCAUGACUGGAGUCCAUCCUCCCAAACUGUGAUGCUGAACAGAGAAUAUCUGUGCUCAUCGGGUGGAAUCCUGUGCAUUCCAGAACAUGGGAGGGGACCAAGAGGGGAAAACCUCCCCUUGAGGAAAAGAAUACUGUUUCCUAGAAGGAGGAGGUGGUUUUCAGGCUGAGAGACUUGGAGAGGCGAUUGGAUAAAGGCACAGAGCAAGCCACAUGCAGAAGAAUGAAAAUGGACCAUUUUCUUACGCCAUACAC